Molecule: ribosomal RNA, 552 nt
Filed under: Triticum aestivum (bread wheat)
Lineage: Eukaryota; Viridiplantae; Streptophyta; Magnoliopsida; Poales; Poaceae
Description: partial small subunit ribosomal RNA
Source: RNAcentral
AUGGCCGAAUGCUUCAAUAGGGUGCUCAAAGGUGCACGUGGAUUACCCGUGACGGCAAUAGUUCAAUACACAUUUGACAAGAUGAAUGCGUACUUUCUAAAGUACUCAAUGAAAACUGAUGCACAGAUAGCGGGUGAGAACCCGCGCAAGUACAAGUACAAGUUCCCACCCAAGGUUGACGAAUGGUUAGAAUUUCAAUCACGAAAGGCAGACUCAAAAGAAGCUAUAUUAUAUGACAACGAAGAGUGGAAGUAUGAAGUGAAAGAGCCAGGAGGAACCACAAACGAUGGCCGGCAACAUGGAGGUCGGGCUUUCAAGGUGUCGUUAACACAAUGUGAUUGCUCUUGCGGGAGGCAUUUGCUUCAUCUCCCAUGCUCACAUUUGUAUACCGCCGGUCGCGUUAGAAAUGUGGACAUCAAUCACCCACGCACCGUGAGGGAGUUGGAGUUCUCAAUCAUGACGGUCAAGAAAACAUGGGCUCCCCGCUUUCACCCAUACUUUGACCAAUCACAAUGGCCGGAGUACCAUGGAGUUCAACUAUGCCCGGAUCCG